GCGACCCCAGGUCAGGCGGGACUACCCGCUGAGUUUAAGCA
RNAcentral lists this ribosomal RNA (41 nucleotides) under Tripolium pannonicum. RNAcentral describes it as "partial 28S ribosomal RNA". The record is from RNAcentral. Lineage: Eukaryota; Viridiplantae; Streptophyta; Magnoliopsida; Asterales; Asteraceae. RNAcentral also lists the same sequence under 9 other names.